This 474-nucleotide ribosomal RNA is filed under the name uncultured bacterium. RNAcentral's name for it is "bacterial SSU rRNA". It matches the Rfam family "Bacterial small subunit ribosomal RNA", at positions 335 to 800 of the family's 1533-position model. The record is from RNAcentral.
ACUCCUACGGGAGGCAGCAGUGGGGAAUAUUGCACAAUGGGCGCAAGCCUGAUGCAGCCAUGCCGCGUGUAUGAAGAAGGCCUUCGGGUUGUAAAGUACUUUCAGCAGUGAGGAAGGUGGGUAUGUUAAUAGCAUACUCAUUUGACGUUAGCUGCAGAAGAAGCACCGGCUAACUCCGUGCCAGCAGCCGCGGUAAUACGGAGGGUGCGAGCGUUAAUCGGAAUUACUGGGCGUAAAGCGCAUGCAGGUGGUUUGUUAAGUCAGAUGUGAAAGCCCGGGGCUCAACCUCGGAAUUGCAUUUGAAACUGGCAAACUAGAGUACUGUAGAGGGGGGUAGAAUUUCAGGUGUAGCGGUGAAAUGCGUAGAGAUCUGAAGGAAUACCGGUGGCGAAGGCGGCCCCCCUGGACAGAUACUGACACUCAGAUGCGAAAGCGUGGGGAGCAAACAGGAUUAGAUACCCUGGUAGGCAGCAC